CAGUCGCCGCGGGAAUACGAAGGGGGCUAGCGUUGCUCGGAAUUACUGGGCGUAAAGGGAGCGUAGGCGGAUGAAUUAGUCAGGGGUGAAAUCCCGGGGCUCAACCUCGGAACUGCCUUUGAUACUGUUCAUCUUGAGUAUGGGAGAGGUGUGUGGAACUCCGAGUGUAGAGGUGAAAUUCGUAGAUAUUCGGAAGAACACCAGUGGCGAAGGCGACACACUGGCCCAUUACUGACGCUGAGGCUCGAAAGCGUGGGGAGCAAGCAGGAUUAGAUACCCGCGUAGUCCCUGUCUCUUAUAC
This 301-nucleotide ribosomal RNA is filed under the name uncultured bacterium. RNAcentral describes it as "partial 16S ribosomal RNA". It matches the Rfam family "Bacterial small subunit ribosomal RNA", at positions 509 to 807 of the family's 1533-position model. The record is from RNAcentral.